Talpa occidentalis (Iberian mole) is the source of this 342-nucleotide long non-coding RNA. RefSeq lists it as uncharacterized. The record is from RefSeq and is a predicted model, not a curated record. Lineage: Eukaryota; Metazoa; Chordata; Mammalia; Eulipotyphla; Talpidae. The transcript is spliced from 3 exons.
GCCAUUACAUUUGAAGAAACAAAUGCCUUUCUUUUUAAGGGAAGACUUUGUUUACUUGGUUUCUAACAGUUAGUUCAGCAGGCAGUGAUCUAUGAGGAGGUGAUGCCCAUGAAAGGAUGAAGUGGCUGAGAAGGUGGAAAUUCAGCUUUUCCACUGUAACUCUGACUUUGGACAGGUAUCCUUUCUGUACCUCAGUUUUCUCACUUGUCAAAUGAAGAUGCCAACAUUAUUUAUCAGGCAAUUUAUAAUGCAUUCAAUAUGCAAUGGAAGAGAAUCUAUAGACAUAAAAUGACUGAGAGUUUUCCUUCUGCUCUCCAGAAAAUGUCCUUCUACAAGUAGUGC